AGAUUAAGGGCAACUGGAUAAAGCCAGGGGCUGC
RNAcentral lists this small RNA (34 nucleotides) under Arabidopsis thaliana (thale cress). RNAcentral describes it as "ATSL136660". Lineage: Eukaryota; Viridiplantae; Streptophyta; Magnoliopsida; Brassicales; Brassicaceae. The record is from RNAcentral.